CCUACAUGAAGCUGGAAUCGCUAGUAAUCGCGGAUCAGCAUGCCGCGGUGAAUACGUUCCCGGGCCUUGUACACACCGCCCGUCACACCACGAGAGUUUGUAACACCCGAAGUCGGUGAGGUAACCUUUUGGAGCCAGCCGCCUAAGGUGGGACAGAUGAUUGGGGUGAAGUCGUAACAAGGUAGCCGUAUCGGAAGGUGCGGCUGGAUCACCUCCUUUCUAAGGAA
This 227-nucleotide ribosomal RNA is filed under the name Bacillus sp. BHET2. RNAcentral describes it as "partial 16S ribosomal RNA". It matches the Rfam family "Bacterial small subunit ribosomal RNA", at positions 1315 to 1533 of the family's 1533-position model. Lineage: Bacteria; Bacillati; Bacillota; Bacilli; Caryophanales; Bacillaceae. The record is from RNAcentral.